UAACUUUUGCCUAGUAGCCGCCCUUUCGGGUUUUCGACUCUAGCAGGCUCUUUGCCCUAACUUUUGCCUAGACCGCCCUUUCGGGUUUUCAGCCUAGCGGGCUCAAUUCUUGCCUGAAGCCGCCCUUUCGGGUUUUCAACUCCAGCUUUUAUUUUUCUUUUCUUCUCUUUUUUUAUUUUUUAUUUUUUAUAUUGGCAAAGAGAAAAUGCUAUUUAUGAUGCAAACUUAUGUUUGUGACCGCGCCUUUGUGGCUGCCUACGUAUCUCCAAGAACUCUUCGGGGGAUGGGGAGAAUCAGGUCUUUCGUAGUUCCU
RNAcentral lists this long non-coding RNA (313 nucleotides) under Jatropha curcas. RNAcentral's name for it is "long non-coding RNA (JCUR_LNC000373)". The record is from RNAcentral. Lineage: Eukaryota; Viridiplantae; Streptophyta; Magnoliopsida; Malpighiales; Euphorbiaceae.